AGCAGUCCACGUAAGAAUCAUGCAGAAUGAAAAAUAAGUGGCACAGCUAUAAAUUUAAAAUCUCUUGAAAAAUGGCUAAUUUUGAAGAAAAUCAUGUUUUGUACUUGAUCCAAUAAAAAAUUUCACCUUGAAUCCUUCUUAAGAUUUUUAAUCGGCUGAAAGGAUAUUCGGUUUCAAAAAUAUUUUCCCGUUGUUUUCUUUACAAAGAGCACUAAUGAAAAUGGUCAUAAAAAUUAAUUAUCGGACACUCUGUCAUUAAAGAUUAAUAGAUACAUAAAGUCAAUAGUAUGGACAGUAAAAGAAAUAACAAACAUCAUUUGGAAACAUGUUUACAAAUUAGUUACAGAUUUUUAAAAACUACGUACGAUCUAGCAGAUUGACGAUUUUAUUAUCUCCCUUUGCUAACUCUUUAGUGUUAAAGAUACGAUUGUUUGGGGAAACAUGACAACAUGUCAUACGAGUUGGCGGUUUGAAGACAGACGAUGCCGUUUUGUAACACUUCUUUGUGGACAAAUACUCCAUGUGAAGAGGUUUCAAAGACAGUUUAUGUGAAUGACUAUAAGAAAUCGGUAGCUGGAUAUUUAUGCUCCUUAAACAAAUCACAUUGCGGGAAAUCCAUGACGCAAGGCCCACCUGCGCCUGUGUCUAUUUUCACAAUCACACGUUGGAAUUUUUCGGUUGUUUCAUAUCAUCAGAGUUCUUUGGAGUGGAUGAGGAAUACUACAUGUGUUUUCCCAGAUCACUCGGUCAGUUGUAUUGGAUAUGCGAACCGGAUGUGGGCACAUAUCAUUAACAUUCGGGAUGAGCAACAUGCUUGUGGAAAAAUGCUAUGGCCAGUAUGGGUGGCGGUGCAGAUAAGUUUAUAUGAAUAAAUCAUAAAUGUGUAUUGGUUACUUAAGCUAAUUUCACCAUACUUUAUUUUAAUAAUUCUUUUGCUUUGGACCAUAAAUAAUCUGUCGACUAAUGAAUAAAUAGUAUCAGUGUGUGUGUGUGUGUGUGUGUGGGUGGGGGGUGGGGGGUGGGGGUGAAAACUAUGUAAAAAUAUUAUACUUUAAAAUGUAAGCCAUUUUAGAAACACUUCUGUUUUCCCUCUGCCAACCAGUGGUUGAAAGUAACUUUUUCUUCCACAGGCUAAAAUCAAAACACAUCAGCUAAAAUGAAACUAAUGAAUCAUUGCUCUUUUUUCAUGUUAUUUCAAUGAAUGAUUCAACAACCCCACCCCCACCCCAUGAUUACUGAACCUGGUGGGUCAACAGUUACACAUUGUUUAGACAAGUCAAUGACAUAUGCCAUAUGGUGAUAUGUUGGGGUAUCUUGAUCCUCACAACUCUAAUCUAACACAUGUACCGCAGGUUCAAAUUUCAUAACACAUCAGGGUUGUUACUAGGGUUUUUUAAAGAUAAGCUCCAGACUCAUGGUUUAUGAGCAGCUUCAAUCCCAUGAAAAUUCACAAGUACCAUGAAUUUUCAUGAGUCCUUUUUGUAUCUGAUUUUUUUUUAGAAAAGUACAAAUGUUGAUUCCACAUAGUUGUUAAUCAUGAUGUCAUCACAGUGGGAAUUCAAAAUUAAUGAUUUUUGAUUUUCUUAGCCAUAGAAUAAUAAUUAAAAUAGGAAACACUAUUUGUGACACCUGAUUCCAUAUCAAAAUCCUUUUAAUUUUCUUAUAACCAGUAUAGAUGCAUUUUUAAAAAUCCAAUCACAACCCGCAUAGUUGAAAAUACAUAUUAAAAGGGCUCUUCAUUAGUUAAUUUUUAUCACAUCAAAUAUGAAGACCUCAAGAAUCUAUUUUAGCUAAUUUUGCAUAAGAUGAACAAUUUCAAACAUAAUUUUUAAUCAAAUGAAUAUUUCUUAUCAACAAAAAUGUAUCGGAUGUAAUGAUUUAGCACGGGUCUUUUAACCAAAAGUCUGUAUAGCUUACCUGAUCACCAUUUUUCUGUAAUCAUAAUGUCUGUUAUACUUGUUGUCUACAUAAUUUGGUAACUUGUGAACUUGAUUGAAAAUUGAAUUAUUGACACCUCUGCAGGUAUCGAGAUCAUUGCCAUCACCACAAAUUGAUAGUUGGUAGUUCAGCUUCAUUGAAUGAAAUAUAUUUACUUAAAUUUCAGUAUACAAGGAAUCUAUUCACUGAAAUUCCAAGAAGAUUCCAUGACUUGCUUGCCAUACAACAAACAACAGAUUAUGGACAUGAUUCCUAGAAUUAGAACUUGAAUGGGUCAGACUUGAAUACAUGCAAAGUCAUGUAGCAAUAUUAAAGGUGUUGUAUUUCAGGAAAAGGGGAAGCGUAUUUGUUGGAAGAUGGAUAAAGAAAAAUUGGAGCAUACACUAGACUUCUUUAAAUCCUGCCUUUUUAUCAGGUAAAUCAUUGAGUACAAAAGAACUGCACCUUCACAGUAGACAACUUAUAACCUUUCGACAAGAAAUUGGGACUGCCUGCCAUUCAACCAUUGUACAUAUAUGAAUUUACCAGUCCUGUUGUGAAGAAACUUAUUUCAUCCUCUUUCAAGGACCAUGUUAUUUGGGAUUUUAACUACUUGUCCUGCAUCACAAGCUUAAAAAGACUUCACAAUCUGUCUGCAGAUGGAACUGCAUGGUUUGAAAUCCUCAUAGGAAUUCUGAGAAGCAUGGAGGCCUAUAAACCAGAUAAUGACAAGAUUUCAUAGUUCGAGGAGUACCAGGAACAUUUACUUGCAGCAAAAUUUUACAUAAAGAGAGACUCACUCAAGCAUGAAUGUAGAAUUACAAAGAUGCAGAAUAUAUAUAUAUAUAUAUAUAUAUAUAUAUAUAUAUAUAUAUAUAUAUAGAGAGAGAGAGAGAGAGAGAGAGAGAGAGAGAAUUAUAUGGUGAUAUAAUUAAACUCAUUGUCUUCAAUGUGUAUGGCAUAUCAGUAGAGAAUCAUGAUUCAUAUGGUGAUAUUUUUCAAUUAUAUACUCGUUUCAGUGCAAUGGCAUUGUACAAAUAAAUAUUUUAAGUGUUGCUAGGGAAAGUGGUUGCUAUGGUGAUAUGUGUAAACAUAUUGUCUUCCAUGGGUCCGACAUGUCAGUAAAUAAUUACAUGUUGAUAUAUUUGUAUUAUAUUCUCAUUUGAAGGCAAUUGGAAUUGUACAGUUUGAAAUGUUUGCUUGUUGCUAGGGAAAAUUGGUUGCUAUGGUGAUAUAGUUAUACCUGAUGUCUUCAUUGGAUUCAACAUAUCAGCAGAAAAUCAUAUAUUGGUAUAUUUGCAUUAGGUUCUCAUUCCAGUGCAAUUUAAUCAUACAACUUUAAAUUUUAUGUGCGUUGCUAAGGAAAAUCAGUUGCUAUGGUGAUAUGGUUUAAGUCUGAUUUCUCCAAUUGGUCUGAAAUGUCAAUAAACUAAAGUGAACUCUGAUGAUUUGUAUUUAUUUUCAGUUAAUAGAAUCAUUUUAAUGCAUAUAUUGCAGAUAUUCUUUUUUUAUUGUGUCGGAAAUGAGCCUGAAAGAGUUGCCUAGCAACCGUUACUAUGUGCAUUUCCGACUCUUUUGAUUUUUAUUUUGAGUACACUUAGUAUUGAUUGUUUAGAAAAUAUGUAUCAAAAUUUGGCACUUUUCGGAUAACUAAAGUAAUAUGUAUUUAAAAUACCUUAAAAUUGUCGAAUUUACAGAAAAUUGAUAAACAUUAAAACAAUGCCUAUUCCAAAGUCCUCUACAGAUACCAUAUAAUAGUAUUUCAUUAGUAUUGUACAUUUUUAUAUUGAAGUAACCUUUACUUUGCCUAAAUAAAUUAUCAUUAUGUUUGAAAAAUUAUUAUUUUCAUUUUUAUACAAAUUUUAAGAAGUAUGUAUUUCUGCACUUUACAAAACCCAAUACAGUGGUUGCUAUGGAAACACAAAUGCUUUAAUUUCCAUAGCAACCAUUGAUGCACAAUGUUUUUACUCUGCAUGUCUUCAUAUAUCAUUAUUAUGAAGAGUUAUGGAAAGUUUCAUGAAAAUCCAAGAUUAUCAGUAUGCCACCUUCUGCAUGAUUCUUACGUGGACUGCUACU
Ostrea edulis (European flat oyster) is the source of this 3993-nucleotide long non-coding RNA. RefSeq lists it as uncharacterized. The transcript has 3 exons. NCBI's taxonomy places the organism in Eukaryota, Metazoa, Mollusca, Bivalvia, Ostreida, Ostreidae. The record is from RefSeq and is a predicted model, not a curated record.